UCAUCAAAUAUAAAUAUACAACACACGUAUUUUCAUUUAACAUGCUAUUAAGGAAAAAGGAAAAAGGAUGUAUAAAUUAAACUUGGAAGUCUACAGCUUACAAAGACCCAGUAAUCUGAAACAGUAGACAAUAGUCCGUUUUCUUGGAAGUCUACAGACCAUUCUGCAAAGACCAGAAAAUAUAAACUAUGAGAAACUUCGUAUUCAUUUCCAUUUUGUUGUUGUCGGUCUCUUGUGCAGGGUUUGUACCAAAGUUUGAACCUGCAGACUAUUUCUAUGAUCAAAGAGACUUGUAUUAUAGAAGAAUGCCUCAUUUGUUCAACUUCAGAUACAGACCACGUGCAUCUCAGAAUACAAGUAGUUCGACAUUAACAAGACUUUACUAUGAUGGUUAAUAAUUAAAAUUAAUCUGAAUGUGAAUAAAAUGAAAAUGUUCUCAGUCUA
Long non-coding RNA from Mytilus californianus (California mussel), 444 nucleotides. RefSeq lists it as uncharacterized. The record is from RefSeq and is a predicted model, not a curated record. Lineage: Eukaryota; Metazoa; Mollusca; Bivalvia; Mytilida; Mytilidae. The transcript has 3 exons.